UGGGGAAUUUUCCGCAAUGGGCGAAAGCCUGACGGAGCAAGACCGCGUGAGGGAGGAAGGCUCUUGGGUUGUAAACCUCUUUUGUCAGGGAAGAAGACAGUGACGGUACCUGACGAAUCAGCAUCGGCUAACUCCGUGCCAGCAGCCGCGGUAAUACGGAGGAUGCAAGCGUUAUCCGGAUUUAUUGGGCGUAAAGCGUCCGCAGGUGGUUGGACAAGUCUGCUGUUAAAGCGCGGAGCUUAACUCCGUAACGGCGGUGGAAACUGUACGACUAGAGUUCGGUAGGGGUUGCGGGAAUUCCCAGUGUAGCGGUGAAAUGCGUAGAUAUUGGGAAGAACACCGGUGGCGAAAGCGCGCAACUGGACCGAGACUGACACUCAUGGACGAAAGCUAGGGGAGCGAAAGGGAUUAGAUACCCCUGUAGUCCUAGCUGUAAACGAUGGAUACUAGGUGUUGCCCGUAUCGACCCGGGCAGUGCCGUAGCUAACGCGUUAAGUAUCCCGCCUGGGGAGUACGCACGCAAGUGUGAAACUCAAAGGAAUUGACGGGGGCCCGCACAAGCGGUGGAGUAUGUGGUUUAAUUCGAUGCAACGCGAAGAACCUUACCAGGGCUUGACAUGUCGCGAAUCUCGGUGAAAGCUGAGAGUGCCUUCGGGAGCGCGAACACAGGUGGUGCAUGGCUGUCGUCAGCUCGUGUCGUGAGAUGUUGGGUUAAGUCCCGCAACGAGCGCAACCCUCGUUUUUAGUUGCCAUCAUUUAGUUUGGGCACUCUGAAGAGACUGCCGGUGACAAACCGGGAGGAAGUGGGGGAUGACGUCAAGUCAGCAUGCCCCUUACGCCCUGGGCUAC
This 849-nucleotide ribosomal RNA is filed under the name uncultured Oscillatoriales cyanobacterium. RNAcentral's name for it is "bacterial SSU rRNA". It matches the Rfam family "Bacterial small subunit ribosomal RNA", at positions 355 to 1217 of the family's 1533-position model. Lineage: Bacteria; Bacillati; Cyanobacteriota; Cyanophyceae; Oscillatoriales. The record is from RNAcentral.